GCGGGAUGGUGAGGCAGCCCAGAACCAGCAAAAGCAGAAAGACUGUACCUCCUGUAGGACUAGAUAGAGACACAGAAGAGUUGGUGUUUUCAGAGUCCUGUAGGUAUUAAGGCAGGAGCUAUUUGGUCUGGAUGUAGCUGGAACCCUGGAGGAGAUGCAGCCACUGCCAGCGAUGCCACCUUAAAGCAGAAAGAAUGGAGUAGAAGUAAUCCAUUUUUUCCCUGACUUCUACUCUUCAUUCUUCUAGAGUACAAGCCACUAGCUUGAAGCCAGGACUUCAAAUACGUGACAAUAGAGACAAAUGAAUGAGGAAAAGAAAUACAAAAAUAUACCUUUUAUCAUGAGGAUUAUUCUUUCCUGAAGGACGCGUGAGACAUUUGGUGCAGAAGACCUGGGUCAGAGGGACUCCUUCGGGAGACCAGUCUCCUGUCCUCAUCCUCACUCCGUGAAGAGAUCCACCUAUGACUUUGGGUCCUCAGACCAACCAGCCCAAGGAACAUCUCACCAAUUUCAAAUUGGGUAAGCGGUCUUUUCACUCUCUUCUCCAGGCUCUCUCGCUACCCUUCAAUCUCCCUGUCCUUCCAAUUCCUGUUCUUUUUCCUCUCUAGUAGAGACAAAGGAGACACAUUUUAUCAGUGGACCCAAAACUCCGGCACAGGUCACGGACUCAGAAAGACAGCCUUCCCUUGGUGUUUAAUCAUUGUGGGGAUGCCUGCCUGAUUAUUCACUCACAUUCCAUUGGUGUCUGAUCACCACGGGGACGCCUGCCUUGGUCAUUCACUCACAUUCCCAUGGUGAUCUCCUCAGCUUAGCAGUUGAAGACUGAUGCUGCCUGAUCACCUCAGAAGCCCCCUGGACCAUCAAGGAUGCCGAGCUUCAAGUAACUCUUACAGUGGAGGGUAAGUCCAUCCCUUGUUUAAUCGAUAACGGGGGCUACCCACUCCACAUUACCUUCUUUUGAAGGGCCUGUUUUCCCUUGGCCCCAUAACUGUUCUGAGUAUUGACAGCCAAGCUUCAAAACCCCUUAAAACUCCCCCACUCUGGUGCCAACUUGGACAACAUUCUUUUAUGUACUCUUUUUCAGUUAUCCCCACCUGCCCAGUUCCCUUAUUAGGCCGAGACAUUUUAACCAAAUUAUCUGCUUCCCUGAUUAUUCCUGGACCACAGCCACAUCUCAUUGCCACCCUUCUUCCCAACCCAGAGCCUCCUUCACAUCUUCCUCUCAUAUCCCCCCACCUUAACCCACAAGUAUGGGACACCUCCACACCCUCCCUGGCAACCGAUCACAUGCCCAUUACUAUCUCGUUAAAACCUAAUCACCCCACCCAAUGCCAGUAUCCCAUCCCAUAACAGGCUUUAAGGGGAUUAAA
RNAcentral lists this long non-coding RNA (1370 nucleotides) under Homo sapiens (human). RNAcentral's name for it is "HSALNT0071021". The record is from RNAcentral. Lineage: Eukaryota; Metazoa; Chordata; Mammalia; Primates; Hominidae.